Microtus ochrogaster (prairie vole) is the source of this 127-nucleotide small nucleolar RNA. NCBI's taxonomy places the organism in Eukaryota, Metazoa, Chordata, Mammalia, Rodentia, Cricetidae. The record is from Ensembl.
CCCCCUUUAGAAGCACUCGUGGGCCUUUUGCUAGUGACCCACUGAGCCGUCAAGAAGGGACAGUAAAAAUAUCACUGGGGUGAAGUGGCAACAUAUGUUAUUUGCUUCAAUCAUCACUGUGACAAGA